Molecule: ribosomal RNA, 253 nt
Filed under: uncultured bacterium
Lineage: Bacteria
Description: partial 16S ribosomal RNA
Rfam family: Bacterial small subunit ribosomal RNA
Source: RNAcentral
UACGGAAGGGGCGAGCGUUGUCCGGAAUCACUGGGCGUAAAGCGCACGUAGGCGGAUCUUUAAGUCAGGGGUGAAAUCCCAAGGCUCAACCUUGGAACUGCCUUUGAUACUGGGGAUCUCGAGUCCGGAAGAGGUGAGUGGAACUGCGAGUGUAGAGGUGAAAUUCGUAGAUAUUCGCAAGAACACCAGUGGCGAAGGCGGCUCACUGGUCCGGUACUGACGCUGAGGUGCGAAAGCGUGGGGAGCAAACAGG